GUGGCAACACUUCUGUCGGCGACCGGCGCACGGGUGAGUAACGCGUAUGCAACCUGCCCUUCACAGGGGGAUAACCGGGAGAAAUUCCGACUAAUACCGCAUACGUCCUCCGGGGGCAUCCCCGGGGGAUGAAAGAAUUAUCGGUGAAGGAUGGGCAUGCGUGAUAUUAGGUAGUUGGCGGGGCAACGGCCCACCAAGCCUACGAUAUCUAGGGGUUCUGAGAGGAAGGUCCCCCACAUUGGUACUGAGACACGGACCAAACUCCUACGGGAGGCAGCAGUGAGGAAUAUUGGUCAAUGGACGAGAGUCUGAACCAGCCAAGUCGCGUGAAGGAAGACGGAUCUAUGGUUUGUAAACUUCUUUAGUGCGGGAACAAAGCGGCGUCGUGACGCCGGAUGAGUGUACCGCAAGAAUAAGCAUCGGCUAACUCCGUGCCAGCAGCCGCGGUAAUACGGAGGAUGCGAGCGUUAUCCGGAUUUAUUGGGUUUAAAGGGAGCGCAGGCUGCGAGGCAAGUCAGCGGUCAAAUGUCGGGGCUCAACCCCGGCCUGCCGUUGAAACUGUCUUGCUAGAGUUCGAGUGAGAUAUGCGGAAUGCGUUGUGUAGCGGUGAAAUGCAUAGAUAUGACGCAGAACUCCGAUUGCGAAGGCAGCAUACCAACUCGCGACUGACGCUGAGGCUCGAAAGCGUGGGUAUCGAACAGGAUUAGAUACCCUGGUAGUCCACGCAGUAAACGAUGAAUACUAACUGUUCGGAGGGCGACCUCUGAGUGGUAAAGCGAAAGCGUUAAGUAUUCCACCUGGGGAGUACGCCGGCAACGGUGAAACUCAAAGGAAUUGACGG
This 841-nucleotide ribosomal RNA is filed under the name uncultured bacterium. RNAcentral describes it as "bacterial SSU rRNA". It matches the Rfam family "Bacterial small subunit ribosomal RNA", at positions 76 to 916 of the family's 1533-position model. The record is from RNAcentral.